Molecule: unclassified non-coding RNA, 332 nt
Filed under: uncultured fungus
Lineage: Eukaryota; Fungi
Description: partial contains 5.8S ribosomal RNA and internal transcribed spacer 2
Rfam family: 5.8S ribosomal RNA (bases 1-133)
Source: RNAcentral
UGGUUCUGGCAUCGAUGAAGAACGCAGCGAAAUGCGAUAAGUAAUGUGAAUUGCAGAAUUCAGUGAAUCAUCGAAUCUUUGAACGCACAUUGCGCCCUUUGGCAUUCCGAGGGGCAUGCCCGUUCGAGCGUCAUUAAAUCCACUCAAGCCUGGCUUGGUAUUGGGCGACGGGGUCUUCCCCGCGCCUCCAUUUCGCCGGCUGGCUGUCGUUUGACUUAGCGUUGUGACACAUAUCGCUGACGACGAAGACGGACCGCGCCGUGAGAAUUUCCUUGGGUGCUUUCGGGCGCUCAGUAAAGGUUGACCUCGGAUCGGGUAGGAAUACCCGCUGA